Molecule: long non-coding RNA, 314 nt
Filed under: Elaeis guineensis (African oil palm)
Lineage: Eukaryota; Viridiplantae; Streptophyta; Magnoliopsida; Arecales; Arecaceae
Description: long non-coding RNA (EGUI_LNC060953)
Source: RNAcentral
UCAGUACUCUGCCUUAACAGAAAUGGAGCACUCGAAUGGGAUUUUAGUAGAGUUUCGAGAUAGAGUUUAGAGCUUAGAGAAGAACGUAUCUGGAGGUCUCUUUUAUAGAUGGGAGAGCGUAACUGAUUGACAGUGACAUCCAUUACUGCCUGGUAUUGGGCCGUUUGGGGCCACGCAGAGUUUGUUACGGAGAGUAGUGGCAUCAGUGGGCCAUUCAGGGCCACGUGGAGUUUGUUAUGGAGAGUGGAGUGGUGUCCGUUGUCGCGACUUGCCAGAGAAUGGUGGGGCCACGUAGAAUCUGUUACAGAGAGUGG